RNAcentral lists this ribosomal RNA (496 nucleotides) under uncultured bacterium. RNAcentral describes it as "partial 16S ribosomal RNA". It matches the Rfam family "Bacterial small subunit ribosomal RNA", at positions 28 to 506 of the family's 1533-position model. The record is from RNAcentral.
GAUGAACGCUGGCGGCGUGCCUAAUACAUGCAAGUCGAGCGAACGGACGAGAAGCUUGCUUUUCUGAUGUUAGCGGCGGACGGGUGAGUAACACGUGGAUAACCUACCUAUAAGACUGGGAUAACUUCGGGAAACCGGAGCUAAUACCGGAUAAUAUUUUGAGCCGCAUGGUUCAAAAGUGAAAGACGGUCUUGCUGUCACUUAUAGAUGGAUCCGCGCUGCAUUAGCUAGUUGGUAAGGUAACGGCUUACCAAGGCAACGAUGCAUAGCCGACCUGAGAGGGUGAUCGGCCACACUGGACCUGAGACACGGUCCAGACUCCUACGGGAGGCAGCAGUAGGGAAUCUUCCGCAAUGGGCGAAAGCCUGACGGAGCAACGCCGCGUGAGUGAUGAAGGUCUUCGGAUCGUAAAACUCUGUUAUUAGGGAAGAACAUAUGUGUAAGUAACUGUGCACAUCUUGACGGUACCUAAUCAGAAAGCCACGGCUACCUACGU